AGCAGUAGCCGCGGUAAUACGAAGGGUGCAAGCGUUAAUCGGAAUUACUGGGCGUAAAGCGUGCGUAGGCGGUUUGUUAAGUCUGCUGUGAAAUCCCCGGGCUCAACCUGGGAAUGGCAGUGGAUACUGGCAAGCUAGAGUGUGUCAGAGGAUGGUGGAAUUCCCGGUGUAGCGGUGAAAUGCGUAGAGAUCGGGAGGAACAUCAGUGGCGAAGGCGGCCAUCUGGGACAACACUGACGCUGAGGCACGAAAGCGUGGGGAGCAAACAGGAUUAGAUACCCCCGUAGUCCCUGUCUCUUAUAA
Molecule: ribosomal RNA, 303 nt
Filed under: uncultured bacterium
Lineage: Bacteria
Description: partial 16S ribosomal RNA
Rfam family: Bacterial small subunit ribosomal RNA
Source: RNAcentral